RNAcentral lists this long non-coding RNA (222 nucleotides) under Elaeis guineensis (African oil palm). RNAcentral describes it as "long non-coding RNA (EGUI_LNC033305)". The record is from RNAcentral. Lineage: Eukaryota; Viridiplantae; Streptophyta; Magnoliopsida; Arecales; Arecaceae.
UGGAUUGAACCUCAUCAAAAGAUGUGAGACAUCCGAUCUUCGGAUUGGACCUCACCAAAAGAUGUGAAACAUUCAAUCUCCAAAUUGGACUUCACCAAAAGAUGUGAGAUAUCUGAUCUCUAGAUUAGAUCUCACCCAAUAUUGUAGAACAUCCGAUCUUCAGAUUGGACUUCACCAGGCAAUACAGGGCAUCCGAUCUUCAGAUUGGACCUCACCAAGUAA